Molecule: long non-coding RNA, 518 nt
Filed under: Anser cygnoides (Swan goose)
Lineage: Eukaryota; Metazoa; Chordata; Aves; Anseriformes; Anatidae
Description: lncRNA (ENSACDG00005014540.1)
Source: RNAcentral
GGGGGGGGCGCGGCGGGGCCCCAGCCCUGAGCCGCCUGUGCCCGUGCCAGGUCGGGGAGAAGACGCCCGAGUCCCAGCGGCAGGCGUGCGCGGGGCACCUGCCGGCCAUCAGAGCCUUCUUCAGGGAGGCCAGCGUGGUGCUGAGCGCCCGGCGCGCCGAGGAGGUGACCCAGGAGGGGCUGAGCCGCGCUCUGGCCCAGCUGGCCCCCGCCGCGGCCCCCCCGGCCAGGAGGGCCCCCCCGGCCGACACCGAGGAGCUGGUGGGCACCAACUACCGCAAGACGAACCCGGCGCUGGAGAUCCGCCGGACGCAGCGGGACUCCUUCUGGGCGCAGGCCGAGCGCGAAGAGGAGCAGCGCAAGGAGGAGGAGCGGCGGCGGCCGAGCGCGAGCAGCGCUUCAGGGAGAAGGAGCGGCUGAUCGAGGAGCACCGGAAGGAGCAGGCGCGGCUGGAGGCGGAGGAGCGGAGGAAGGAGAAAGCCCGCUGGGUGAGCGGGGACGGGGACGGGGCACGGGGGG